RNAcentral lists this unclassified non-coding RNA (251 nucleotides) under Glomeraceae sp. Its description in RNAcentral is "partial internal transcribed spacer 2". The stretch from base 1 to 65 matches the Rfam family "5.8S ribosomal RNA", at positions 84 to 154 of the family's 154-position model. Lineage: Eukaryota; Fungi; Glomeromycota; Glomeromycetes; Glomerales; Glomeraceae. The record is from RNAcentral.
GUGAAUCAUCGAAUCUUUGAACGCAAAUUGCACUCUCCUCUAAGAGUAUGAGUAUUUGAGUGUCAGCCUAUAAAAAUCGACAUCGUGGCUGUUUCGCGGAGGCGUUCGUCGGGAAGUGGGGCAGCUUAAAUCCUUUUGGUUUCAGCGACUUAACAUUUUCUUUUGGUUCCAUGAACGUUUCUAAGAUCUAUUUCUUUACACGUUUAAGGUAUCGAUUUUUACUAGACGUGACAAUCAUAUCGUAUCGCGCC